This 253-nucleotide ribosomal RNA is filed under the name uncultured bacterium. RNAcentral describes it as "partial 16S ribosomal RNA". It matches the Rfam family "Bacterial small subunit ribosomal RNA", at positions 524 to 776 of the family's 1533-position model. The record is from RNAcentral.
UACAGGGGGUGCAAACGUUGCUCGGAAUUAUUGGGCGUAAAGCGCGCGUAGGCGGCCACUUAAGUCGGAUGUGAAAGCCCCUGGCUCAACUGGGGAAGUGCACCCGAAACUGAAUGGCUUGAGUGCGAAAGAGGGUCGCGGAAUUCCCGGUGUAGAGGUGAAAUUCGUAGAUAUCGGAAGGAACAUCAGUGGCGAAAGCGACUUCCUGGACCAGUACCGACGUUCAGGCACGAAAGCGUGGGGAGCAAACAGG